CCCGGCCACCAAUAAUGCACCCUCAGAUCUUGAUACAUCUUCGUGCUACCUGGAUGCAUAACAUAUGGACUGUUGUGUGCCUCUGUAAGAAUACUCUGUUUCAGCUCUCCAAUGUUAGGUACACAUAUUCUGUUACCAUAGUACAAGUAGCCAUCAUCACUUAUCACAUGCUUCUGCUUCUUCCCCUCUUGUACUUGUCUAGUCCAUAAGGCUAUCUCUGUAUCUUCUUUUUGUGCUUCUUUAAUUUGUUGCAGUAAGUUGGGUCUAACUUUCAAUUCUGCUAUGAUAGCUCCAUCAUCU
RNAcentral lists this long non-coding RNA (300 nucleotides) under Manihot esculenta (cassava). RNAcentral describes it as "long non-coding RNA (MESC_LNC009353)". The record is from RNAcentral. Lineage: Eukaryota; Viridiplantae; Streptophyta; Magnoliopsida; Malpighiales; Euphorbiaceae.